Molecule: long non-coding RNA, 1514 nt
Organism: Hyaena hyaena (striped hyena)
Lineage: Eukaryota; Metazoa; Chordata; Mammalia; Carnivora; Hyaenidae
Exons: 3
Source: RefSeq, a predicted model, not a curated record
CAGGCAGCAUGGCUGGGUGUGUUUAUGCACAUGGGAAGGACUGACGCUCCUCUCUAGUCAUGUGGGCCACACUGCUUGCAUAUGGCCUUCUUCUCCGUCUAACAAAGGGUUGUAAACAGCAUGUUAUCCAAGGGGCUGCUAUCAAAACAAAUUCAUUUCAUGAAACUGGAGCUGUCGCUUCACUUUGGCAAUGACUGGAGAUCACUGGUUAAGAUUUUUAUGGUGCGUUUUCAUAAUGGGCCUGUAUCCCUUACAAAGAGUAGGAUUUACAGGAAAAACAAUUCACAAAGCUUUUUAAACAGAGAUGCAAAUGGGCUUUCUCAUUCGUGGAGUGCAAAUAAAUCAUAUGGCUGAGCAAUAUGUAUGUUAACAUAUAUUGAGAAAAUAUUUAUACUUUCUAUCAAAGGUAUUGUUUACCCUGCGUAUGUUCAGAAUGUGUUUCUAAAUAUUUACAAAAGGAAAAAUCAUCUGGCUUAUCUUACACCUCACAUAAAGUGGGAAAAGAGAACUGGCAGCCCUGAGAUUGGGAAAAGGUCGUAAAAUAUUUAAUGACCUGAGGACCAAAAGGAAAGGACUCAGAUCAAACCCACAUUAAAAGCAGUGCAAUGGGCAAGCCACCAAAAGAUAGCUGAGUUUCUCUGAUCCUGAAUGGGAGUGCCGGGACUAGAGGUUUGGGGACCUAAUUAUUCAGGGAAAGAAUGUACUGGAAUGCUUGCUCCUGAAGAGAGAAGCCCAUGAAAAGUCAGCAAGAUAGUUGCCUCUAGCAUGUCAAGAAUUGACAUGUUUAUGAUCUUUGGAUCCUUGAGAGCUCAAGACUGUUUUGAAGAUCUCCCACACUAUUAUUUCAAGAAGCUACUUUUGCUGUGCACAGACCAAGACCUGGACCCUAUUUACAAUAUCUGAAAACUUUAACAUCUCACUCCAAGGAUUUCCAGUGAAAUUAUGUUCCAUUUCUAGAGACAGUGACUAGAAGUGCAACCACUACAUAGGAAACAGAAAUUUCAUUUUUAGAUCACCUACUGGAACAUUCUAAAUGCUUUCUUUCUACCAAGAACUGGGUACUAAACUUCUUUCUGAGUAAGGAAGCCACUUGGAGCAGUUGGGGAUGACAGUAAUACUGUACAUGCUGAUUUCCAGAUUUGGCAGCAACCUAGGAGAGUGCCUGUUUAGGGGGGUGCACACUAAAGCGUUUAUAGUUAAUGGACAUCAUGACUACAAUGUACUCAAAUGGCUCAGGGGAAAAAACAGCAGAGAGAGAGGGAGAGAGAAUGAAAGAUCAAAUGUAAAAUGCUAAUGAUGAGGUGACGAAUGAGAAAGCUUUUUGUGUUGUUCUUGCAACUUCUCUGUAAGUUUGAAAUUAUUUCAAAUAAAAAGUAAAACAAAUACAAAAGACAUAGUUUGAAGGGCCUGCAACUGGCCAAAGUUUAGACUAGUUCUUUGAAGUUCAAAAAAAUUGUGACUUUAAUAGUAACUCAGUGAAUAAAUAAGAAUCCAUGAGUCCACAAUAAUAGGAA